This 2125-nucleotide unclassified non-coding RNA is filed under the name Daphnia magna. RNAcentral describes it as "sodium-independent sulfate anion transporter, transcript variant X2". The record is from RNAcentral. Lineage: Eukaryota; Metazoa; Arthropoda; Branchiopoda; Diplostraca; Daphniidae.
ACCAUCACAGUCUGUCCAGUUCGACAAGCCCAACCGUCUGGUUCGUAUUCUCUGGCGAAAGAGUGCUCACGUAUCAAAUAAGCCCGUCAUUUCCCGUCAUUUUUACUGAUUGCAGUCAGCACAUUAUACUAACUAAAUCAGAACAUUGGUCAAUGACGCAAAAUGCCGAAUACAACUGGUUCAACAAAGUCUAUCGAUUAUCGUGAUGAGAAACCCCAAGAAAGGUGUGGAGAACCUUUGAUGAAAGGAAGACAUUCAAAAGAUGUAGAUAAUAUAGCACCGGACGGAACGUCAUUUGCCGAUCCAUCAAUCGAGCAUUUUUUCCUGCCAAAAAGUGGGAAUCGAUCAAAAGUCGAUAACGGAUCGACGAAAAAGAAACGAUGGGCAAAAAUUAAAGGGGCGUGCACUAUGCAAUUACUUCGUCGCCGUUUACCCAUCGUGCAAUGGCUGCCAAGUUACAAUUGGAGCUACGCCGUUUUCGACCUUAUUGCUGGCAUAACUGUUGGUUUGACGAUAAUCCCGCAAUCGAUCGCAUAUGCUGGCGUUGCUGGACUUCCUCUGGAGUAUGGCCUCUAUUCCUCUUUUAUGGGCAUGUUUGCAUACACGGUGUUUGGCUCUGUAAAAGAAUCGUCGAUAGGACCAACGGCCGUCAUGGCCCUUAUGACAUUCUCGUAUGCCAACGAAGGCGGGGCUGCUUACGCAGCUCUUUUGUCAUUUUUGGCCGGAAUAAUUGAACUUUGUGCCGGCUUGCUUAAUCUAGGAUUUCUGGUCGAGUUUAUAUCAGCUCCAGUGAUCUCUGGCUUUUGUUCGGCGGCCGCAUUGACUGUCGCCUCAACGCAGGUGAAAGGCCUUUUCGGAUUGAAAUUUAGCGGGUCUUCAUUCGUCGAAAUCUGGACCGGAUUCUUUACAAAUCUUUCUAAGAUCAAUCCAUGGGACGCCGGAUUAGGUUGUUCAUCAAUCGUCGUCCUACUUUUGUUACGGAAACUGAAUUCAUUGAAAAAUCUUGGAUCCUUGAAGAAAGUGGUUUGUCUCCGUAAUCGAUUUGUUGAUGGCGCUCUUUGGUUCAUUUCAACUAGCAGGAAUGCAAUUGCCGUCAUAGGUGGUUGCGUUGCUGCCUACCUGUUGGAGACAAAUGGCCUAACUCCGUUCACUCUCACAGGUAACAUCAAGGCUGGCCUACCUUCGUUUGAAAUGCCACCGUUCUCGAUCAACAAGACAGACGGGGAAGAUGGCAAUAGCACGAUUUUCUUAACGUUUCCUGAGAUAUGUUCGGAACUUGGAGCUGCAAUUGGUCUCAUCCCACUCAUUGCCAUUUUAGAACAAGUUGCCAUUGCCAAGGCUUUCGCUUGUGGUAAACAAACCGACUCGACACAGGAAAUGAUUGCUCUCGGUUUUGGAAAUAUCCUGGGCUCUUUUUUCGGUGCUAUGCCCAUCACCUCCUCUUUUGGGCGGAGCUCUGUUCAAUCCGCAAGUGGAGUUAAAACGCCACUAUCCAACAUUUAUGGAGGCAUUCUGGUUCUGUUGGCUUUGGGCUUUAUGAUGCCCUCACUGGCCUACAUCCCGAAAGCGAUUCUUGCUUCUGUCAUCAUCACGUCCGUCAUCUUUAUGGUAGAACUGGAAGAGCUGAAGCCCAUGUGGAAAAGCAGACGUAUAUUUAUCCGGACGGUUUUCAUCCGGAUUGGAAUUAGUUCCAUUCGGUGUCACGUUCUUUUGUUGUCUCUUUGUCAACAUGGAGUACGGCAUUUUGAUCGGAGCCGCAGUUCAUUUGUUCUUGUUGGCUUACAUGGCCGGAAGUCGUCCUCAUCCGGAAUUGAUACGAAUACCAGGAAACAAGAAGACUGCAGAAAAAGUCAUUGUUAAGGCUGAUACUAAUUUGUAUUUUCCGGGAGUGGAAAAGUUCCGCCAAGUUCUGAACGAAGCCACCGAUGGAGAAACGUGUGUGAUGGUCGAUCUGUCACACGUAACCGAGAUCGACUACACGGCACUCAAAAUGCUCAAAUCUGUGGCUUCCGAUUACCACAAGAGAGGCCUAAUGGUUCUCCAUUUCACGAACGCAUCUCCUAAAGUGACGAAAUCGAUUUCAUCCGCCUUGCAUUCAGCUGACAUUGACUUCUUAAUACCCAAU